UCCGUGCGACCGCUCAAGGUGAGGGGACUUGGCUGUUAACCAAGACGCGCUACGUUCGAUUCGUAGGCACGGAGCCA
RNAcentral lists this transfer RNA (77 nucleotides) under compost metagenome. Its description in RNAcentral is "tRNA-Asn". The record is from RNAcentral.